RNAcentral lists this ribosomal RNA (443 nucleotides) under uncultured bacterium. Its description in RNAcentral is "partial 16S ribosomal RNA". It matches the Rfam family "Bacterial small subunit ribosomal RNA", at positions 338 to 795 of the family's 1533-position model. The record is from RNAcentral.
CCUACGGGUGGCAGCAGUGGGGAAUAUUGGGCAAUGGGCGCAAGCCUGACCCAGCAACGCCGCGUGAAGGAAGAAGGUUUUCGGGUUGUAAACUUCUUUUCUGAGGGACGAAGAAAGUGACGGUACCUCAGGAAUAAGCCACGGCUAACUACGUGCCAGCAGCCGCGGUAAUACGGAGGCGGCAAGAGUUAUGAGGAUUUACUGGGUGUAAAGGGGGCGUAGGUGGUGGGACAAGUCUGAAGUGAAAGCCAGGGGCUGAACCCCGGGACUGCGUCGGAAACUGCGUGACUGGAGUGCGGGAGAGGCAAGUGGAAUUCCUAGUGUAGCGGUGAAAUGCGUAGAUAUUAGGAGGAACACUAGUGGCGAAGGCGGCGUGCUGGACAGUAACUGACGCUGAGGCACGAAAGCGUGGGGAGCAAACAGGAUUAGAGACCCGGGUAGUC